UACGUAGGGUCCAAGCGUUAAUCGGAAUUACUGGGCGUAAAGGGUUCGUAGGUGGCUCGCUAAGUCAGACGUGAAAUCCCUCAGCUUAACUGGGGAACUGCGUCUGAGACUGGCAAGCUCGAGUGCAGGAGAGGAACGCGGAAUUCCAGGUGUAGCGGUGAAAUGCGUAGAUAUCUGGAGGAACACCGGUGGCGAAGGCGGCGUUCUGGACUGCAACUGACACUGAGGAACGAAAGCCAGGGGAGCAAACGGG
Molecule: ribosomal RNA, 253 nt
Filed under: uncultured bacterium
Lineage: Bacteria
Description: partial 16S ribosomal RNA
Rfam family: Bacterial small subunit ribosomal RNA
Source: RNAcentral